Molecule: long non-coding RNA, 4080 nt
Filed under: Capsicum annuum
Lineage: Eukaryota; Viridiplantae; Streptophyta; Magnoliopsida; Solanales; Solanaceae
Description: long non-coding RNA (CANN_LNC012123)
Source: RNAcentral
GCCUCAAUUCUACUUGUAUUAUGCAAUUCGAGUAUUUUCAUUACAAUUUCAGUGGUAAUUCAUUACAAAUUGGUAUCAAAGAAAAUCCUAGCCCUAACAAUGAUGGUAACUAAAAUGCGAUACAAAUACAUGGAGGACUUUGUCAAGAAGGUGGAUACUCAGCUUCAAAGCCACAUAGCUGAAGUGGAGAAGAAGUUCAAAUCUCACAAUGCGAAGUUGGACGAUCUGGGGAAGAAAUUGGAUGUAUGGAUGGAGCGUUUAAUUCCACAGCAGGAAGGAAUUUUGGGUAGCGGGCCACGCGAUAAAGGUCAUUCCGAAGGGCCUAGUAACCGUGCUAGAAUGGGGGAGCAGAUGGACCAAGGAUGGAGUCGCAAUCCAGGAAAUUAUCAUCAUCUUAGAGUUGAGUUUCCCUUCUUUGAUGGAACUGACCCUUGCUCUUGGUUGCUCAAAGGGGAGAGGUACUUCCAAUACCAUCACAUCUAGGACCGGUAGCAAAAAUUAGAGAUUACAUUUCUUCACCUGCAAGACAAGGCAGAGUUAUGGUAUUUUUCAUAUCACCUAAGUAGAGGUAAUAUGAAAUAGCAGGACUUCACUGAUGAAAUAUGUAGAAGGUUUGAGGGAGCUCAUAAUAGUAAGCUGAAUCUGAUGGUGAAUGAGUAGAUGAGGAGGUUUUGUAAGAAUCCAUUAGCCUAAAUGCUUUAUCUGGCACAGAGGUGACUAAUACCAUUAGGCUACAGGGAGAAGCUAAGAAGAACAAAGUGACUAUUCUCUUGGGCAGCACCCACAGUUUCUUGGACAUGGUACUGCCAGGAAGAUUGGGUGCAAUCUAUGUGAGGCUACUCCUAUGAGGGUAACUAUAGCUAAUGUGACUCAUAUUCUGAGUCGACACUUCUGUCCUAAUUUCAAGUGGAAGAUACAAGGGGCGGAAUUUGAGGACUCUAUUAGACUGGUAAGAUUGGGUGGCAAUGAUAUCAUUCUUGGUGGAGACUGGAUGAAGGACCAUAAUCCAGUGUUGCUGGACUUUGUAGAAUAUAAGGUGGAGGUGACUCACAAAGCCAAGCAGGUGGAAUUGAAGGGAAUGUACCACCAGGCAGAGUUGAAAAGCAUGUCGGCCAGUAGUGUAAAACAACUAUUCAAAAAGGGGCAAGCUAUUUGGGCUCACCUUUUUACUGUUACUGCUACUAGUGUUGAGGACAAGGAGGUGAUUCCAUGUGAAAUCCAACUGAUCUUGGAUGAUUUUCCUGAUGUAUUUGUUGAACCAAAAACCCUGUCACCACAAAGAAUCCAUGAUCAUCAUAUUACCUUAAAGAAGGAUGCAGAACCAGUUAAUUUCAGACCAUACAGGCAUAAUUAUUUUCAAAAAGUUGAGAUUGAGAAACAGGUGUCAGACAUGCUGACACAGGGGACUAUUCAACCUAUUCACUCCCCUUUUCCAUCUCCAAUGUUACUAGUUAAGAAAAAAAUGGAAGUUGGAGAUUUUGUAUUGAUUACAGGGCACUUAACAAAAUCACUGUUAAGGAUAAGUUUUCCAUGCCCCUAGUAGAAGACUUGAUGGAUGAAUUUACGGUUCUACUAUUUUUUCAAAGAUUGACUUAAGAGUAGGGUAUCACCAAAUUCGGAUGAGGACUGAAUACAUCUACAAAACAGGAUUUGUUACACAUAUGGGACACUAUGAGUUUAAGGUCAUGCCCUUUGGGUUGAUCAAUGUCCCGAUAAAUUUCCAAAGCCUCGUGAAUCGUGUGUUCAGAGAUUACUUGAGGAAGUUUGUGUUGAUUUUUUUAUGACAUAUUGGUGUACAGUUCUACAUUACUGGAGCAUCUAGAUCAUCUGAGAAAAGUGUUAAUGGUGCUGAGACAUAAGAGACUCUUUGCUAAGAUGUCUAAAUGCUCAUUCGGUCAGUCUCAAGUGGAAUACCUCGGUCAUAUUAUUACUGGACAUGGUGUGUCUGCUGACCCGGCCAAGAUUGAUGCGAUGGUUAAUUGGCCUAAACCCAAAUCAAUGAAGAGUUUAAGGGGGUUUCUAGGACUCACCGGAUACUAUAGGAGGUUUGUUUAUUCCUAUGGGAUUAUCAGUAGACCUCUCACUAACAUGUUGAAUAAGAAUGCAUUUUAAUGGAAUGAGGAGGAUGAGCUUGCUUUUGAACGACUUAAGGUAGCUAUGACUACAGUUCCAGUCUUGGCUCUCGCUGAUUUUACCAAACCAUUCAUUAUUAAGACUGAUGCAUGUUGUAAAGGAAUGGGGGAAGUAUUAAUGCAAGAAGGGAGACCCUUAGUAUAUUCUAGCAAGGCAUUGGGACCUAGAAACUUGGGCCUCUCCACUUAUGAAAAAGAAUACAUGGUUGUACUAGCAGUUGUUGAUAGAUGGAAACAUUACUUGCAAGGGGGCCAUUUUAUAAUCAAAACAGAUCAGCAGAGCUUAAAGUACCUCUUGGACCAAAGGGCUACUACAUUAUUGCCACAAAAGGGACUGACUAGACUAAUGGGACUAGAUUUUGAGGUACAAUACAAGAAGGGCACCGAUAAUAGAGUGGCUGAUGCUUUAUCAAGGAGGGUUAAAGAGGAAGUGGCUGAAUUGAGGGCUAUCACUACUGUGGAACCGACAUGGAUGUUAGAAGUGUGCGAAAGCUAUGAGCAUGACCCUACAGCUCAACAAACUAAUUACAGCUUUAAUCACCAAUCCUAAUAGCAAACCUGAUUUUAGUUUGUAGCAGGGUAUUAUCAGAUAUAAAAUGAAGUUUUAUAUUGGAAGGAGCAUGGGAAUGCGAGAGAAAAUCUUUGAAGUAUUGCAUCAGUCCCCAUUGGGGGGCCAUUCAUGCCAACAGAGAACUUAUAAGAGGAUGCAAAUGAUUUUUUAUUGGCCUAACAUGAAGGCUGAUAUGGUGAGAUAAGUGUCUAUAUGUAAUCUUUGCCAGAGAAUCAAGACAAAAAAUGUGCCCUAUCCUGGGUUGCUUCACCCUCUACCUAUUUCGGAGGCUCCGUGGCAAGAUAUUGUCGUGGAUUUUAUUGAAGGUUUACUAACUUCUGGCCAUAACAAUACCAUUCUGGUUGUAGUGGAUAGGGUAUCUAAUUAUGGGCAUUUUCUGGGGUUGAAACAUCCCUACAAUGCCCAAGAGGUGGAUGAGCUCUUCCUUAAAGAAAUAUAUAAAUUGUAUGGCCUACCCAGGUCUUGUUUCAGAAAAGGACUCUAUCUUCACUGGCGAUUUUUGGCAGCACUUAUUCAAGGCCAUGGGAAAUAAGUUAAAUCUUUCUACUUCCUAUCACCCUCAGUCUGAUGGCCAGACUGAGCGACUGAACCACUUUCUGGAGACUUAUUUGAGAGCUAUGGUAUCCACCAAUCCCAAAUAAUGGAUCAAGUGGUUACCUUUAGUCAAAUGGUGGUACAACACCAAUCAUCACACUUCCUUAAAAUCUACCCCUUUUGAAGCCUUAUAUGGCUAUGUUCCUCCUCAGAUUCCACUGGGUUCCCCUUCACAAUCAACACACACUCAUGUUAGUCUUUGCCUUGCUCAACGACAACUAAUGAUUCAAGCUCUUAAGGACAAUCUUCACCAAUCUCGGGCUCGUAUAAAAUUUUUUACAGACAAAAAUCAUACAGGGAGGGAACUACUGGUCGGGGAUUUGGUUUAUCUUAAACUACAGCCCUAUCGACAAACUUCAGUAGUUGUUCAUUGAAACUUAAAGCUCAGUGCUAAAUUCUAUGGGGCCUACAAGGUGUUACAAUGUAUAGGGACAGUGGCUUACCAGCUAGAGCUUCCGACAGGAUCCACCAUCCAUCCUGUGUUUCUCGUCUCACAGCUCAAGCAUCGUAUCGGGCUCUCAGUUGUUGAGCAGCCAUUACCUCCUACUUGUUAUACAGAUGGAUGCAUCUUAGCCCAACCAGUGGUCAUUUUGCAACGUAGCUUAGUUCGAGAAAAUAAUGCUGCCACUGUUAAGCUUUUGGUUCAGUGGUCAAAUCUUGGCCCUGAGGAAGCCACAUUGGAAGACUGGGGCUACUUGAAGAGUCAAUUUCCAAUAUUUAUGACUCAACACCAACCUUGAGGACAAGGUUGUUUUUUAUCGGAGGGAUAGUGUAAUGAAUAAG